This 468-nucleotide ribosomal RNA is filed under the name uncultured bacterium. Its description in RNAcentral is "partial 16S ribosomal RNA". It matches the Rfam family "Bacterial small subunit ribosomal RNA", at positions 28 to 507 of the family's 1533-position model. The record is from RNAcentral.
GACGAACGCUGGCGGCGUGCUUAACACAUGCAAGUCGAACGGAAAGGCCCUGCUUUUGUGGGGUGCUCGAGUGGCGAACGGGUGAGUAACACGUGAGUAACCUGCCCUUGACUUUGGGAUAACUUCAGGAAACUGGGGCUAAUACCGGAUAGGAGCUCCUGCUGCAUGGUGGGGGUUGGAAAGUUUCGGCGGUUGGGGAUGGACUCGCGGCUUAUCAGCUUGUUGGUGGGGUAGUGGCUUACCAAGGCUUUGACGGGUAGCCGGCCUGAGAGGGUGACCGGCCACAUUGGGACUGAGAUACGCCCGAGACUCCUACGGGAGGCAGCAGUGGGGAAUAUUGCACAAGGGGCGGAAGCCUGAUGCAGCAACGCCGCGUGCGGGAUGACGGCCUUCGGUUUGUAAACCGCUUUCGCCGGUGACGAAGCGUGAGUGACGGUAAUGGGUAAAGAAGCACCGGCUAACUACGUG